Long non-coding RNA from Eptatretus burgeri (inshore hagfish), 3293 nucleotides. Lineage: Eukaryota; Metazoa; Chordata; Myxini; Myxiniformes; Myxinidae. The record is from Ensembl.
UCCUCCAGAGUCCGGCGCAGCAGAGAGCGUGGAAGAGGUUCCGGCUGGCAGGAGUGAAACAUUGCGAAGGUUGUUUGAAAUCUCUGAAAUAAACGGCUUAUUAAAGGUGUGAGAAAUAUCAUCUCGGGGAGGAGGGUUCCUAUUCAUAACUAUAAGGAUUAAGGAAUCGAGUUUCUCGCAUCUAUUGCGGGUCCAUGAUCCCGACCACCUCAGCGACUUUGUGGAUCCUCUAGCGUGGCCUCAAUGAUCCGACAGCCUUGCGGUCCAAGUCACGGGACCGGCCCAGACCCACGACCCAUUCUCGAGAGGACCAACGGGGAUGAGACCUCGGAAGAGCAGAGUCCCGACAUGGACUCUCCCUCAACGCUUCCCGCUCCCCCUGCGGACAUGCUCCGCAAUCGACCUGACUCCUUCAUCCGGGACUCUUGGACAGGAAGUGAUGACCUGGGCUCUGAGUUGGGCUCUGACUGGUCACACAGCACUCGAUCCUAUGGAAGUCUUCCAGCCUGGCCACCUUACCACGUCAAGCCAUAUCUCCCACUGCCCAGCGACCAUUCCCUCCCUCCCAUUGAACUCCGACCCUUCGUCAUCAACCCUGAUCGCCAACAAAUGCUGUCUUUCUCCAGUGGUGAAGACUGUUGCAGCCACGACACUGAUGACAUCAGUGAGCAAGCAACCUGCCCGAUCAUGAAGACCCAAAUCUCGAAAUGGAAUAUUGCUUUCCAUGUUUGUUGCGGUGUUUGUAUUUUGUCUUUUCCUGAACAUUUUUGUCCAUUUUUGUGCGGAAGGAGUAAUUUGAUGGGAUAAUUGUGUCGGGAAGAUAUGUAAUCCUCCUGCCGACAGGAGAGCCAUGAACUUAAGCAGACGUUAAUGAAUGGGCAUGAAAGCUCGUCAAUUUCACUUCAUUUUAAACCGUUGCCAUGAUUUACUUGAUUACAUUUUUCUACAUUUAUUUACUUCAUUAGAUUGAGUUGAUUAUAUUUAUUGCUAAAGAAGAAGCGUCCAGUCCGUCCGUCCGUGCAUCAGUUUGUCGCGCUUUAUUCUGCAGCAUUCCUGCUGUCGCGGAUUAAUAAAAAAUGAUAAUGUUGGAAAACUAAUGUUACUUGGUUGAAAGCUAAUAAUCCAUUUACUUGGAACAAAAAUUUGUGUCCGUUUAGUCUCAAAGGUGCCCGUUUUGAAAAUCCCCUUCCUGAGAUUGAAGACGAAGAAGCAGACAUUGGAGCUUUAUGUAGCGAGCGGUUCGAACAGCAACAUUUAGUAUUGUAUGACGGCAGGAACCCUCCAGAAGGACACGGAAGGAGAACACAAAAUUUCACAGAUGUAUGUCAAAUAUUUAAAGUUCAUUUCUGAUAUUAAAGAUCGGUACCUUCCGGGUGACGUAGAAAGCUGAAAUUUUGCGGGCCGAUGGACAUCGAAGCCGAUGCACCGGGAAAAAUCACAGAACCGUUGGAAAUCAUCCGUCAAUUUAAAUAUAAAUAAAUGGAAAAAAAAACAAUUGCAGGUGAGCGAACCGAGACAAUGGGGAAGCACAAUUCGUUAUUGCUGACAAUGUAAAAUACCCCACGAGUAAAGAAAUAUUUCUCGAAGCAAGAGAAGAAAAAAAAAAACAUAUGAAAGUACAAACAAUAGCAACAAUCACAGUCACCAUGACAACAGCAUUAAUGUAUUAUUUCCAAAAAAAAUCCGUUUUACGCGUUUCACUUCAUUUUACAUCCUCAAUGAGAGUCGUGGAUAAACUUGCAAUGAGUUUGUGAAGUACAACAUGCUUUCGUGUGAUUAAUCCCAUCAGUGAAGCGUCGGGAGGCAGGUCGAGUCUAUAUUAUAUAAUGAGCCGCAUCUGUCUGUCUGUCGUGUUAUAACUUGAGAACGACUUAACGGAUUUCAAUGAAUCCAACGACGGUGGAUUCAGGGAUCUUCCAGGAAGGUUUGUGAUGCAAAAAAUAAAAUGAAAAGGAAGGACGGUUUGUGUAUGGGUGUUUGUGUAUGCACACGUGACGAAACCGCAAAUGCCAACUUGUGAUGCUGGUUAUCCACGCAUGGAGGGCAAGAUCUCCCAGGAAUCCUUUUUUGGUCUUGCUCCAUAAAUUAGCCAUCGAAGCAAAGAUUGGUAUUCCCGUCAACAAAGCGACCAGUCUUAUAUGUUAGUAAUAAUAAAAAGACUACUCCCACCACGUUUUGUAGAUGACCAUCUUAACGCUCCUCUAACUAGAGCCCACAACUACUUUAUUCAUGUUAUUUACUAAAGUACUUACCUCAUAAUUCUGCUACAUUGACAUAUUAAACCACAUGGUUGAGAGUGAGUUUGAGAAUUCUCCAACAGAGUCAAAACUGCCGGUAUAUUUGGGCCCAUUGGAAAAUGGCGUGCAUGAGAGUUGUUGACUUUUCUGAAGCAAUGUGGUUGGAAACACUUUGGUCAUCUGGAUAGUUCUCAUGUGCGGUGAAUUGGAUGGUGUCAUUUCCAGUGGUGGCAUUGCCCCCAGGAGGGUGACAUUGAGAAGGUGGACGGGGGUUGUUGGGUGGAGAGAGGGGGGAAUUGUGAGAUUGACUAACAGGAUGAGGAAAAGGCAAUAUAAUUGUCAAUGACACAAUGAAAGUAAAGACUACGUGGAAACGAAAAGGAUAACAAUAAUGUCGCAGCCAGGUUAACAGGUGAGGAUGAAACAACAAAUCAAUUUCAUGUCAUCAUGCCAUAUUUGAUUUUUCACAUUAAUCGCUGUUUUUAAAGGGCACUCUGCAGUAAUACAACUGGUGGUGCACACAUUUGUUUGUGUAAUCCAUAGUUUCCAUGGCAACAGCAUCUACAUGCUAAUUGUACUGCACAGCCAGAUGGGAUGGUAUGUGCUGAAACAGGUGGGACUGAAGGGAGGGGCAAGAAGGAAUGAGUGUACAAAGUAGGAAGGCCCUGCACAAACAGAGCAGUGUGGAAGCACAAGAGGUCACAGUAGACAACGACCAGUGUGCUUCCUCCAGGAUGCAUCUCAUGUAGAAGUGCAGACAAGGUAAGCUUCAACGUGGAGUCGUUUUGGAUUAAGUCUUGCCCUAUGCUACUGUUCUGAUGGACUCAAAAUGACAUUUGUUGCAUUAUACUUGAUCUUAGCUCAUAGUCGUGACCUUGUGUGUAUGUGUGUGUGUGUGUGUGUGUGUGUGUGUGUGUGUGUGUGUGUGUGUGUGUGUGUGUGUGUGUGUGUGUGUGUGUGUGUGUGUGUGUGUGUGUGUGUGUGUGUGUGUGUGUGUGUCUUGGUUACCCUUCAUAUCCAAAUAUAUAAAGCUCUUUCUAACCACUGACUCACUCA